GAUGAACGCUGGCGGCGUGCCUAAUACAUGCAAGUCGAGCGAACAGAUGAGGAGCUUGCUCCUCUGACGUUAGCGGCGGACGGGUGAGUAACACGUGGAUAACCUACCUAUAAGACUGGGAUAACUUCGGGAAACCGGAGCUAAUACCGGAUAAUAUAUUGAACCGCAUGGUUCAAUAGUGAAAUACGGUUUUGCUGUCACUUAUAGAUGGAUCCGCGCCGCAUUAGCUAGUUGGUGAGGUAACGGCUUACCAAGGCAACGAUGCGUAGCCGACCUGAGAGGGAGAUGGGCCACACUGGAAAUGCGACACGGUCCACACUCCUACGGAAGGCAGCAGUAGGGAAUCUUCCGAAAUGGGGGAAAGCCUGACGGAGCAACGUCGGGGGAGGAAUGAAGGUCUUCGGAUCGUAAAACUCUGUUAGUAGGGAAGAACAAAUGUGUAAGUAACUAUGCACGUCUUGACGGUACCUAAUCAGAAAGCCACGGCUAACUCCGUG
RNAcentral lists this ribosomal RNA (497 nucleotides) under uncultured bacterium. RNAcentral describes it as "partial 16S ribosomal RNA". It matches the Rfam family "Bacterial small subunit ribosomal RNA", at positions 28 to 507 of the family's 1533-position model. The record is from RNAcentral.